Non-coding RNA from Taeniopygia guttata (zebra finch), 511 nucleotides. The record is from RefSeq and is a predicted model, not a curated record. Lineage: Eukaryota; Metazoa; Chordata; Aves; Passeriformes; Estrildidae.
CACUGAUGGCCUUGUGCUCCAGAGAGGACGAUGGCAUGGGGAAAAGGAGGAGAAACUCUGCCCUUUGUGAAGAAAUAGUUUUGCUUUUUCUACCUUUUGAAUAUGUCUGUCACUAAGGGCAAUCACUGAGACACUCAGGCACCGUUGUGUUGAGGCCUAGACAUACUUCUUAAUCUUCUAAGAUCCAAAUAAAUGAUAUAACAUAUGAAAAAAAUCCAGAAAGAAGGGAAAGGAACCCACAAAGAACCAUCCGGACAGGAAUCUCAAAGACCCAUGGAAGUGUGCAAGUGGAUCAGUUCGAUGAAGAACUGUGCUGCUUUAGCCCAAAGGGUACCACCAUUACACAGCAUCAUAGGAUCAACUUGAUUGGAAACGACUUCUGGGAUGAUCAAGUCCACCUGUGACCCAACACAUGUUGUCUAGCAGACCAUGGCACUGAGUGUACAUCCAGUCUUUCCAUACACGUCUCCAGGGAUGAUGACUCCACAACCUCCCUGGGCAACCCAGUACA